GCACCGACCCCGUCACCCCCUUCCAAAUCGCACCGAGGACUCGCGUGCUCCCUCGCCGCCUCCUCCCUUCCUCCCUCCCCCCGCGGCGUCGCCCAACGAAACCCUAGCUCGCCCGCGCCGUCGUCUCGCCGGAGGGCGGAGAGGGCCGGGGAGCGGAGCGGGAGGCGGGGAUGGGGAAGAAGAAGAAGCGGGUGGAGAAGGUGUUCUGCUACUACUGCGACCGGGAGUUCGACGACGAGAAGAUCCUGGUGCAGCACCAGAAGGCCAAGCACUUCAAGUGCCACGUCUGCCACAAGAAGCUCUCCACCGCCGGCGGCAUGGCCAUCCACGUCCUCCAGGUCCACAAGGAGUCCGUCACCAAGGUUCCGAAUGCCAAGCCCGAGAGGGAUUCCACCGAGAUCGAGAUCUUCGGCAUGCAGGGGAUCCCCUCCGACGUGCUCGCCGCCCACUACGGGGAAGAGGAAGAUCCUUCAUCGAAGGUGGCCAAAGUAGAAGUGCCGACAAUAAGACCUCCUAUUAUGCCUAAUUAUCCGAUAGGCAUGCCUUUUCCUCCUCGGCCUUAUGGUGCAGCCCGCCCUAUGUAUAAUCCUGCAAUGAUGGUCCGACCUCCGAUUUGGCCUCUUCAGCAGCCGCAACCUUGGUUUGCUCAACAACCACCGGUUUCAGUUCCCCCAAUGAUUGCUGGGCAAGCACCACAGCAACCACUAUUUCCCAUUCAAAACAUGCCCAAUCCUAUGAUGGCAUCAGCACCUGCUAAUUUACUUCAGACAUCAUAUGCUAUGGCCACCACAGGGGUUCCUUCACCUGUUGCCCCUCAGGCUUCCCAGCCUUUGUUUCCUGUUAACACCACUGGCAAUGGAGCCGCAAAUUCCUCAUUCAGCUCGUCAAUUUCACCUGCAACUAUUGCAGCAAAUUCUCCAGCAUCAGUUGGUACGGCAGGAUAUGGCUAUGUAGCUAAUAACCAUGGUACAGGAGGACCAGCAGUUGGACAUCCACCUGCACCUACCACUAAUAGUAAAACGUCUGCUACUCAACCAGCUACAAGUGAGGUCUAUCUGGUGUGGGAUGAUGAAGCAAUGUCAAUGGAGGAAAGAAGGUUGGCGCUGCCCAUGUACCAGGUGCAUGACGAAACUAGCCAGAUGAGCUCGGUUGAUGCAGCGUUCGAUCGAAGAAUAUCAGAUAUUACAUUUUCUAGACAAUCCACAUAAACAAGCUGCGCCCGGUGUUCAGUAAACAGCUUGAUGCGAUUCACCAACGGGCUCACCCGUGCAUCCGUAGGAGGGACGCCGUGCAAUCGGUGAUCCUGGAUCCCCCCUGUUGUUGAUCUACUUAGUUAGUGACUGGAGCUACUGCAGUUGAAAGAUUGUAUUGGUCUGACUUGGAGAUUUUGGCUCAACAUCAUUUGUGUCCUGUCUAUUCGUGUCGUGAGUGGAAACCUGUGAGACCUAGAAGUCAUUUGUUCCGUUGUCGAUUGACUGAUGAUAUGAGAGUAUCGUCAGCUCUGUAAACCCGAGGAUGAAAUUAGCAGUGUCUUUUCACCAGCUGUGCUGCUGUUGAGUACCAUUCGUUGUUAGCACCGUCGUUUUGCCUUCGGCGCCGUGAUCGUGUGUCCAUGGCUAGCAAAAGCAAAAGAGGUGUUGCUUGUUUCAGCAAAUUUCUCAAAGGGAAUGCAAUUCUUCUCUCCGG
This 1686-nucleotide ribosomal RNA is filed under the name Triticum aestivum (bread wheat). Its description in RNAcentral is "partial small subunit ribosomal RNA". The record is from RNAcentral. Lineage: Eukaryota; Viridiplantae; Streptophyta; Magnoliopsida; Poales; Poaceae.